This 323-nucleotide long non-coding RNA is filed under the name Daucus carota (carrot). RNAcentral describes it as "long non-coding RNA (DCAR_LNC007270)". Lineage: Eukaryota; Viridiplantae; Streptophyta; Magnoliopsida; Apiales; Apiaceae. The record is from RNAcentral.
UUGCUACAGAUACCAAUCAAUAUUGUGUGUACUGACCAACUCAGUUUUCAAACAACCUGUCGAACUGAACCCCGAAAAGUCUCCACUUGAAAUCAAUGGAUUCCAUCUGAAUCUGACAUGACUAAACCUCUCAGACAGUGUUAUACUAAUCCUUGAAGUUCUGUCCUCACAUUCUUCAAAAGUGUUAACUUUCGUCGACUUGAGCUUCCUCAAAUUCAGCAGUUACAAACUCUUCUGUUCAAUCCUAAGGUUCUGACAUAAAUGCACGAAACUGAUUUGGUGUGGUAGUAACUCGAUAAUUAUAUCCUUAAACCUCCACAGUU